UACGGGGGGGGUAAGCGUUGUUCGGAAUUACUGGGCGUAAAGGGCUCGUAGGCGGCCAACUAAGUCAGACGUGAAAUCCCUCAGCUUAACUGGGGAACUGCGUCUGAUACUGGAUGGCUUGGAUUCGGGAGAGGAAUGCGGAAUUCCAGGUGUAGCGGUGAAAUGCGUAGAUAUCUGGAGGAACACCGGAGGCGAAAGCGGUCCACUGGGCAACUUCUGACGCUGAGGUGCGAAAGCUAGGGUAGCAAACGGG
Molecule: ribosomal RNA, 253 nt
Filed under: uncultured bacterium
Lineage: Bacteria
Description: partial 16S ribosomal RNA
Rfam family: Bacterial small subunit ribosomal RNA
Source: RNAcentral